GAUGAACGCUGGCGGCGUGCCUAAUACAUGCAAGUCGAGCGAACAGACGAGGAGCUUGCUCCUCUGACGUUAGCGGCGGACGGGUGAGUAACACGUGGAUAACCUACCUAUAAGACUGGGAUAACUUCGGGAAACCGGAGCUAAUACCGGAUAAUAUAUUGAACCGCAUGGUUCAAUAGUGAAAGACGGUUUUGCUGUCACUUAUAGAUGGAUCCGCGCCGCAUUAGCUAGUUGGUAAGGUAACGGCUUACCAAGGCGACGAUGCGUAGCCGACCUGAGAGGGUGAUCGGCAACAUUGGAACUGAGACACGGUCCAGACUCCUACGGGAGGCAGAAGUAGGGAAUCUUCCGCAAUGGGCGAAAGCCUGACGGAGCAACGCCGCGUGAGUGAUGAAGGUCUUCGGAUCGUAAAACUCUGUUAUUAGGGAAGAACAAAUGUGUAAGUAACUAUGCACGUCUUGACGGUACCUAAUCAGAAAGCCACGGCUAACUACGUG
Molecule: ribosomal RNA, 497 nt
Filed under: uncultured bacterium
Lineage: Bacteria
Description: partial 16S ribosomal RNA
Rfam family: Bacterial small subunit ribosomal RNA
Source: RNAcentral